RNAcentral lists this ribosomal RNA (1387 nucleotides) under Klebsiella pneumoniae. RNAcentral's name for it is "bacterial LSU rRNA". It matches the Rfam family "Bacterial large subunit ribosomal RNA", at positions 636 to 2008 of the family's 2925-position model. The record is from RNAcentral. Lineage: Bacteria; Pseudomonadati; Pseudomonadota; Gammaproteobacteria; Enterobacterales; Enterobacteriaceae.
UGUAGCAAGGUUAACCGUAUAGGGGAGCCGCAGGGAAACCGAGUCUUAACUGGGCGUUAAGUUGCAGGGUAUAGACCCGAAACCCGGUGAUCUAGCCAUGGGCAGGUUGAAGGUUGGGUAACACUAACUGGAGGACCGAACCGACUAAUGUUGAAAAAUUAGCGGAUGACUUGUGGCUGGGGGUGAAAGGCCAAUCAAACCGGGAGAUAGCUGGUUCUCCCCGAAAGCUAUUUAGGUAGCGCCUCGUGAACUCAUCUUCGGGGGUAGAGCACUGUUUCGGCUAGGGGGUCAUCCCGACUUACCAACCCGAUGCAAACUACGAAUACCGAAGAAUGUUAUCACGGGAGACACACGGCGGGUGCUAACGUCCGUCGUGAAGAGGGAAACAACCCAGACCGCCAGCUAAGGUCCCAAAGUCAUGGUUAAGUGGGAAACGAUGUGGGAAGGCACAGACAGCCAGGAUGUUGGCUUAGAAGCAGCCAUCAUUUAAAGAAAGCGUAAUAGCUCACUGGUCGAGUCGGCCUGCGCGGAAGAUGUAACGGGGCUAAACCAUGCACCGAAGCUGCGGCAGCGACACUAUGUGUUGUUGGGUAGGGGAGCGUUCUGUAAGCCUGCGAAGGUGUGCUGUGAGGCAUGCUGGAGGUAUCAGAAGUGCGAAUGCUGACAUAAGUAACGAUAAAGCGGGUGAAAAGCCCGCUCGCCGGAAGACCAAGGGUUCCUGUCCAACGUUAAUCGGGGCAGGGUGAGUCGACCCCUAAGGCGAGGCCGAAAGGCGUAGUCGAUGGGAAACAGGUUAAUAUUCCUGUACUUGGUGUUACUGCGAAGGGGGGACGGAGAAGGCUAUGUUAGCCGGGCGACGGUUGUCCCGGUUUAAGCAUGUAGGCUGGUUGUCCAGGCAAAUCCGGAUAAUCAAGGCUGAGGUGUGAUGACGAGGCACUACGGUGCUGAAGUAACAAAUGCCCUGCUUCCAGGAAAAGCCUCUAAGCAUCAGGUAACAUCAAAUCGUACCCCAAACCGACACAGGUGGUCAGGUAGAGAAUACCAAGGCGCUUGAGAGAACUCGGGUGAAGGAACUAGGCAAAAUGGUGCCGUAACUUCGGGAGAAGGCACGCUGGUGUGUAGGUGAAGCCCCUGCGGGUGGAGCUGAGACCAGUCGAAGAUACCAGCUGGCUGCAACUGUUUAUUAAAAACACAGCACUGUGCAAACACGAAAGUGGACGUAUACGGUGUGACGCCUGCCCGGUGCCGGAAGGUUAAUUGAUGGGGUUAUCCGUAAGGAGAAGCUCUUGAUCGAAGCCCCGGUAAACGGCGGCCGUAACUAUAACGGUCCUAAGGUAGCGAAAUUCCUUGUCGGGUAAGUUCCGACCUGCACGAAUGGCGUAAUGAU